CAGUCGCCACGGGAAUACGUAGGGUGCGAGCGUUAAUCGGAAUUACUGGGCGUAAAGCGUGCGCAGGCGGUUCGUUAAGACAGAUGUGAAAUCCCCGGGCUUAACCUGGGAACUGCAUUUGUGACUGGCGAGCUAGAGUAUGGUAGAGGGGGGUAGAAUUCCACGUGUAGCAGUGAAAUGCGUAGAGAUGUGGAGGAAUACCGAUGGCGAAGGCAGCCCCCUGGGCCAAUACUGACGCUCAUGCACGAAAGCGUGGGGAGCAAACAGGAUUAGAUACCCCCGUAGUCCCUGUCUCUUAUAC
RNAcentral lists this ribosomal RNA (301 nucleotides) under uncultured bacterium. Its description in RNAcentral is "partial 16S ribosomal RNA". It matches the Rfam family "Bacterial small subunit ribosomal RNA", at positions 509 to 807 of the family's 1533-position model. The record is from RNAcentral.